AUUGAACGCUGGCGGCAGGCUUAACACAUGCAAGUCGAGCGGGGGAAGGUAGCUUGCUACCGGACCUAGCGGCGGACGGGUGAGUAAUGCUUAGGAAUCUGCCUAUUAGUGGGGGACAACAUCUCGAAAGGGAUGCUAAUACCGCAUACGUCCUACGGGAGAAAGCAGGGGAUCUUCGGACCUUGCGCUAAUAGAUGAGCCUAAGUCGGAUUAGCUAGUUGGUGGGGUAAAGGCCUACCAAGGCGACGAUCUGUAGCGGGUCUGAGAGGAUGAUCAGCCACACUGGGACUGAGAAACGGCCCAGAUUCCUACGGGAGGCAGCAGUGGGGAAUAUUGGACAAUGGGGGGAACCCUGAUCCAGCCAUGCCGCGUGUGUGAAGAAGGCCUUAUGGUUGUAAAGCACUUUAAGCGAGGAGGAGGCUACUUUAGUUAAUACCUAGAGAUAGUGGACGUUACUCGCAGAAUAAGCACCGGCUAACUCUGUGCCAGCCGCCGCAGUAA
This 501-nucleotide ribosomal RNA is filed under the name uncultured bacterium. RNAcentral describes it as "partial 16S ribosomal RNA". It matches the Rfam family "Bacterial small subunit ribosomal RNA", at positions 30 to 523 of the family's 1533-position model. The record is from RNAcentral.